CGAACGGUCCUUUUUAGGGCCACAAAUACCUAUGAAUACAUUGACU
Non-coding RNA from Heterorhabditis bacteriophora, 46 nucleotides. NCBI's taxonomy places the organism in Eukaryota, Metazoa, Nematoda, Chromadorea, Rhabditida, Heterorhabditidae. The record is from Rfam.